AGGUUUCGGGGCUGGCUGGUUCGGAGGCUCUGCUAUUUCCUGUGGUCCCUGGAGCAGCACAUCCCCCCCUGCCAGGAUGUCCCACAGAAGAUCAUGGAAAGCACCGGGGUGCAGAACCUCCUCUCAGGGAGGGUCCCAGGAGGCACUGGGGAAGGCCAGGUGCCUGACCUUGUGAAGAAGGAGGUACAGCGCAUCCUGGGUCACAUCCAGGCCCCACCCCGUCCCUUCCUGGUCAGGCUGUUCAGCUGGGCGCUGCUGAGGUUCCUGAACUGCCUGUUCCUGAAUGUGCAGCUCCACAAGGGUCAGAUGAAGAUGGUCCAGAAGGCCGCCCAGGCAGUAAGGCCCGCCCUCCAUUGGGUUGGGGAUGGUGGGAGCAGAAGAGCAGAGGCUGGGCCAAGCCCUUAAGUCAGGAGCAGUCCCCAUCUGGUCCUGCUUCCUGGCCUCUCUGUUCCCAGCCAUACAGCAGUCCAGUCCCCAUCAGCUGGUGGGAAAAAUCCCCUGCUCUUUGCCGACCUUCCCUUAUGUCUCACGGCCCUGCUCCCAUGGGGCUUCCUCUAACGUCUUUCCAUCAUGGUCUUAACAACCAUGACGUCAGUGCGUCGGUGCAGUUACCUUAAGAGUUGUCUAAAGGCUCCUUUGCUUUUGGGAAAUGUGCUCAGAGGAAGAACUCUGCAGCUGAACUGUCCCUCCCUCUGGGGCUGCCCUGGGUCUUUGGCUGCCUGUGUCCUCAGGGUGGGGCAGGUUGGCACUUCCCUCUGGCUCUCCCCGGAGCAGGGCUUGCCGCUUGUCCUCCUCUCUACUCACAAAACCCUCCUGGAUGGGAUCCUGCUGCCCUUUAUGCUGCUCUCCCAGGGCCUGGGUGUGCUUCGUGUGGCCUGGGACUCCCGCGCCUGCUCCCCUGCCCUCAGAGCUCUGCUGAGGAAGCUUGGGGGGCUUUUCCUGCCCCCAGAGGCCAGCCUCUCCCUGGACAGCUCUGAGGGGCUCCUUGCCAGGGCUGUGGUCCAGGCGGUGAGUGCCCCCAGUGGUUACAUAUGGGCCAGGCUAAGGGGACAGGGGUCUGUUUCUGCUCUGGCCUUAACACCCCCUCUGACCCCUCCUAUUCCAGGUCAUAGAGCAGCUGCUGGUUAGUGGGCAGCCCCUGCUCAUCUUCCUGGAGGAACCUCCUGGGGCUCUGGGGCCACGGCUGUCAGCCCUGGGCCAGGCUUGGGUGGGGUUUGUGGUGCAGGCAGUCCAGGUGGGCAUCGUCCCAGAUGCUCUGCUGGUACCAGUGGCCGUCACCUAUGACCUGGUUCCGGAUGCACCGUGUGACAUAGACCAUGUGAGAAUGUGAGACCUUCCAGCCCCUUGGGCCCCUAGGUGGACACCAGCUCCCGAUAGGAGGCACAAUAUUGUGUCCUGUGGCUGAGCCCCACUUAGGGCUGUGGGGGGCACAAAGGAAUCGUCCUUACAAUCAUCUGGCAGCACCUGUCAAGGCCAUUACCAUCAUCUCAUUUCAUCCUCUGAAGACCUUGAUAGGGAGGGAUUUUUCCUGUGUCAUGGAUAAGGAAAGAGGAGCUUGGGACAAGGUCACGCACCAGUUUGGGCCUGAGAUAAAACUGAGCAGGGUGGGACCAGAGGAUACCUCUGGAGACCAGGAUGGGUGGGCAGCCCUGAUGUCCGCCCGAGAGCAGUGUCCUCGGCGAGUAUAGUUAUCCUUUCCCUCCUUGCAGGCCUCGGCCCCCCUGGGGCUGUGGACAGGAGCUCUGGCUGUCCUACGUAGCUUGUGGAGCCGCUGGGGCUGCAGCCACCGGAUCUGCUCCCGGGUGCACCUAGCUCAGCCCUUUUCCCUGCAGGAAUACAUCGUCAGUGCCAGAAGCUGCUGGGGCGGCAGACAGACCCUGGAGCAGCUACUGCAGCCCAUCGUGCUGGGCCAAUGUACUGCUGUCCCAGACACUGAGAAGGAGCAGGAGUGGACCCCCAUAACUGGGCCUCUCCUGGCCCUCAAGGAAGAGGACCAGCUCCUGGUCAGGAGACUGAGCUGUCAUGUCCUGAGUGGUGAGGGUGAACCAGAUCUGGGCCUUUGCGGGUGGGUCACUGAACCGUCCCCUCUCGGGGUCAGCCAGUCACCAGGGUUCUCCAUUCCAAGUGUCUGCACCUGAGGUGCUCUGUGAUACCUUGGGGACAUCUGAAGAAGAAUGGAACCCUUCUCCUACAGGAGGAGCAGGCAGCCAGGGCCAUCAUAAGGGAGCAGCUAAGUGCAUGCACAAAGAUGGUGGCCUGAGGCCAGGAGGCUGCAGCUGCUUCCCCAAGGCCACACCCAGCCCUGCCUUCUGAGCGGAGUCUCCUUAGCUUUGGGUGGAGAUGGUGUUAACUGAAUGGAAUGAUACGUGUAAGGGGCUUAGCACAGCGCCUCCACAGAGGGCCCUUAUAGGGAGAUCCAUCUGUAUCUUCUUCAGUGCCCCUCUAGUAGAGGCUGUGGGUUGAUGUGUGGGCCCUACGAUGAGAUCCAGGGGAAGGCCCCCAGCUCCUGGCCUGCUCUCAGCCUGUGUGAUGAUAAACACCACUGCUCCGGGUGUACGUUCCUCAUCCCUGGGGUGGAGUUGGGAUGUGUGGCUAGGAAGACUUGCUAGAUCAUGGAGGGACCAGGCUGCUGGGCCUCAACCUGACCAGCAUCUCCACCCCCCGCCCCACUCCAGCCAGUGUAGGGAGCUCUGCGGUGAUGAGCACGGCCAUUAUGGCAACGCUGCUGCUCUUCAAGCAUCAGAAGGGUGUGUUCCUGUCGCAGCUCCUGGGGGAGUUCUCCUGGCUGACGGAGGAGAUACUGUUGCGUGGCUUUGAUGUAGGCUUCUCUGGGCAGCUGCGGAGCCUGCUGCAGCACUCACUGAGCCUGCUGCGGGCGCACGUGGCCCUGCUGCGCAUCCGUCAGGGUGACUUGCUGGUGGUGCCGCAGCCUGGCCCAGGCCUCACACACCUGGCACAACUGAGUGCUGAGCUGCUGCCCGUCUUCCUGAGCGAGGCUGUGGGCGCCUGUGCAGUGCGGGGGCUGCUGGCAGGCAGAGUGCCGCCCCAGGGGCCCUGGGAGCUGCAGGGCAUAUUGCUGCUGAGCCAGAAUGAGCUGUACCGCCAGAUCCUGCUGCUGAUGCACCUGCUGCCGCAAGACCUGCUGCUGCUAAAGCCCUGCCAGUCUUCCUACUGCUACUGUCAGGAGGUGCUGGACCGGCUCAUCCAAUGCGGGCUCCUGGUUGCUGAGGAGGUAGGCAGGGCAGUUGGAGACAAGAUCCUUGCCUGGAGCCUGGCCUCCUCCAGCCUCCCACCCUGAGUGCCAGCUGCCCCAGGCUCCUCCUCUGCCCCGUGUGUGCUGUGGGGGUGGGCAGCCCCUGGCCUUGCAGCGGGGAAGCCUAGCUCGCACCUCUGCUCCCUGUGCCUUGGGAUAUAGCCACCUAUGCCCCGGUUCUGUGUGUCUCUCUGGAUAGCACUGGACAUGUGUGCCUCUGAGGUUCUCUGCACACCUCCUGCUCCCCACAUUUCUUGGCCACAGGGCUACUGCCCUUGAGGGUGGGAAUUCACUUCCUCUCACUCUGCAAGUUGGCCCAGCAGGUGCUGGGGCAUGGCUCUGGCCAUCCUCUUGGGUCUCUAGGUCUGCUUUUACUGGUUUCACCUGCAUGUACCUGGUCUGGGGGUGUAGGGUUGAUCCCUGGCCAGCUUGUCAGAGAACAAUGGCUCCACGGCCCCUAGACCCCAGGCUCCCGGCCAGCCUGUGACACAGGGCGACAGCGAUUGAGCAGAAAGCUGCUGUGGAAACCGAGUGGGGACUUUACUGAUAGUGACAGUGAUGACUUCGGAGAGGCUGACGGCCGGUACUUCAGGGUGUGUUUCAAAAAGCUGCCCCUGGAGGGAGGUGGUAGGGAGGCGGUGGGGAGCUGCACUCACCCCGGCCUGUCCCCUCCAGCUCAGCCAGCAGUCACACUGCCCAGAUUUCUUUCUUUUCCUCUGCCGCCUGCUCAGCCCGCUGCUCAAGGCCUUUGCACAGGCUGCCGCCUUCCUCCGCCAGGGCCAGCUGCCCGAUACUGAGUUGGGCUACACAGAGCAGCUGUUCCAGUUCCUGCAGGCCACCGCCCAGGAAGAAGGGAUCUUCGAGUGUGCGGACCCAAAGCUCGCCAUCAGUGCUGUCUGGACCUUCAGAGACCUAGGGGUUCUGCAGCAGACGCCGAGCCCUGCAGGCCCCAGGCUCCACCUGUCCCCUACUUUUGCCAGCCUGGACAAUCAGGAAAAACUAGAACAGUUCAUCCGGCAGUUCAUUUGUAGCUAGAACUGUGAGGAGGAGCCUGUGCUGAGACUUCUCAGCCCCAGAACACAGCUGUGUCCUAGAGCCAGAAGAUGGAGAGGAGGCUGCAAACCCUUAGCUGCUCUAUAAAUAUAAUCAUUGAG
This 4407-nucleotide long non-coding RNA is filed under the name Homo sapiens (human). Its description in RNAcentral is "non-protein coding lnc-ANKRD36C-4:2". The record is from RNAcentral. Lineage: Eukaryota; Metazoa; Chordata; Mammalia; Primates; Hominidae.